GCAAACUUGGUCAUUUAGAGGAAGUAAAAGUCGUAACAAGGUAACCGUAGGUGAACCUGCGGUUGGAUCAUUACUUUUAUGGUUAGCCUCUUUAACUUUUUGGUUAAUCUUUAACGUUUAACCUUUGAGUUAAUUGGGUUAAAAACUUUGAGUAGGACUAUUAAAGUAUUUUUGGGUUAAUGUUAACCCAAAAGGUUAAACUUUUAUCUUUUUUGAGAAUAAUAUAUUUGGUUAAUGUUAAACAACUUUUGACAACGGAUCUCUAGGCUCUCGCAUCGAUGAAGAACGCAGC
RNAcentral lists this unclassified non-coding RNA (292 nucleotides) under uncultured fungus. Its description in RNAcentral is "partial contains small subunit ribosomal RNA, internal transcribed spacer 1, and 5.8S ribosomal RNA". The stretch from base 1 to 73 matches the Rfam family "Eukaryotic small subunit ribosomal RNA", at positions 1759 to 1831 of the family's 1831-position model. Lineage: Eukaryota; Fungi. The record is from RNAcentral.